AUGAACGCUGGCGGCGCGCCUAAUACAUGCAAGUCGAGCGAACGGACGAGAAGCUUGCUUCUCUGAUGUUAGCGGCGGACGGGUGAGUAACACGUGGAUAACCUACCUAUAAGACUGGGAUAACUUCGGGAAACCGGAGCUAAUACCGGAUGAUAUUUUGAACCGCAUGGUUCAAAAGUGAAAGACGGUCUUGCUGUCACUUAUAGAUGGAUCCGCGCUGCAUUAGCUAGUUGGUAAGGUAACGGCUUACCAAGGCAACGAUGCAUAGCCGACCUGAGAGGGUGAUCGGCCACACUGGAACUGAGACACGGUCCAGACUCCUACGGGAGGCAGCAGUAGGGAAUCUUCCGCAAUGGGCGAAAGCCUGACGGAGCAACGCCGCGUGAGUGAUGAAGGUCUUCGGAUCGUAAAACUCUGUUAUUAGGGAAGAACAUAUGUGUAAGUAACUGUGCACAUCUUGACGGUACCUAAUCAGAAAGCCACGGCUAACUACGUG
Molecule: ribosomal RNA, 496 nt
Filed under: uncultured bacterium
Lineage: Bacteria
Description: partial 16S ribosomal RNA
Rfam family: Bacterial small subunit ribosomal RNA
Source: RNAcentral